CAUCAAUAUGGUUAAGAUUUUAAAAAUAAUUUUUACAUGUAAAUCAUAAAAACUUUUAGAUCAAAUCUAAAUUUUUUAUGAUUUUAAAUUAAAAUAAUUUUGAUUACACAAGAUUAGAUGUAACUAACUUCUUUGCAACUUGUACCACAUACAACAGCACCUAAGAUUUCAAGAUCUAAGAUUUUACAAGAAAGUAAGUUUUCUCUUUUCACUUUCUUCUUCAUGGGAUCUAAUCACAUGGCACCCCUACACGCCAUAAGAAUACCCCAUCGAAUGGAAAGAGAGGGGUUUUAAAUCUUUCUUGCUCCUAUGAUCAGACGGCCUGGUGAUCAACCCAAUCCAAGUACUUGCUAAUCGGAUCAUCUAAUCUCAUCAUAUAUUAGAUAUGCAUAAAUUUAGAUCUAAUCUAAAUUAUAUCAGAUCUAAUUAUAAUUUUAGAUUAUAUCUAAAUCAGAUUAUAAACAUCAUAUGCAUGACAUAAAAUCAAAUUUUAUCAAGGAUAAGCACAAACUAGGACAACCUUUUCACUAUAAGG
This 535-nucleotide long non-coding RNA is filed under the name Elaeis guineensis (African oil palm). RNAcentral's name for it is "long non-coding RNA (EGUI_LNC033080)". The record is from RNAcentral. Lineage: Eukaryota; Viridiplantae; Streptophyta; Magnoliopsida; Arecales; Arecaceae.